UACGGAAGGCAGCAGUGGGGAAUAUUGCACAAUGGGCGCAAGCCUGAUGCAGCCAUGCCGCGUGUAUGAAGAAGGCCUUCGGGUUGUAAAGUACUUUCAGCGGGGAGGAAGGCGGUGAAGUUAAUAGCUUCACCGAUUGACGUUACCCGCAGAAGAAGCACCGGCUAACUCCGUGCCAGCAGCCGCGGUAAUACGGAGGGUGCAAGCGUUAAUCGGAAUUACUGGGCGUAAAGCGCACGCAGGCGGUCUGUCAAGUCGGAUGUGAAAUCCCCCGGGCUUAACCUGGGAACUGCAUUCGAAACUGGCAGGCUAGAGUCUUGUAGAGGGGGUGAAUUCCAGGUGUAGCGGUGAAAUGCGUAGAGAUCUGGAGGAAUCCGGUGGCGAAGGCGGCCCCUGGGACAAAGCUGACGCUCAGGUGCGAAAGCGUGGGGAGCAAACGAGGGAUUAGGAUACC
This 454-nucleotide ribosomal RNA is filed under the name uncultured bacterium. RNAcentral's name for it is "bacterial SSU rRNA". It matches the Rfam family "Bacterial small subunit ribosomal RNA", at positions 340 to 786 of the family's 1533-position model. The record is from RNAcentral.